Molecule: unclassified non-coding RNA, 326 nt
Filed under: soil metagenome
Description: partial contains 5.8S ribosomal RNA, internal transcribed spacer 2, and large subunit ribosomal RNA
Rfam family: 5.8S ribosomal RNA (bases 1-120)
Source: RNAcentral
GAUGAAGAACGUAGCGAAAUGCGAUAAGUAAUGUGAAUUGCAGAAUUCAGUGAAUCAUCGAAUCUUUGAACGCACAUUGCGCCCCUUGGUAUUCCGAGGGGCAUGCCUGUUCGAGCGUCAUAUUAACCACUCCCGCUUGCGGGGUCUUGGGCUUAGCCUCCGGGCGGGCCUUAAAAUCAGUGGCGGUGCCGUCGGGCUCUACGCGUAGUAAAUUUUCUCGCGAUAGGGUCCCGGUGGAUGCUUGCCAACAACCCCCAACUUCUUAAGGUUGACCUCGGAUCAGGUAGGGAUACCCGCUGAACUUAAGCAUAUCAAUAAGCGGAGGA